CACAGGAUCUCAUUUGCAACAAUCUCGCUUCAAACUUGCUAUGUAACCAAAGAUGGCGACUUCCUGAUAUUCCUUCCCACUCCCAAAUGCCAGGAUUUCAGAUUGGCCUGCGCCUGGUUCCGUCCCUAAGCACGUGGGCCUGGGCUGUGUAAGCUGAGCGGGCCAUGUCUUCAUGGCAAGCCAGUGAGCAUCGUUCCUCCGCGGUCCUGCCCUGUCUUCCCUCAGUGAAGGACUGUAAGUAGAAGGUGAAAUAAACCCCUUCACCUUCCCC
This 271-nucleotide long non-coding RNA is filed under the name Rattus norvegicus (Norway rat). RNAcentral describes it as "long non-coding RNA NONRATT012785". Lineage: Eukaryota; Metazoa; Chordata; Mammalia; Rodentia; Muridae. The record is from RNAcentral.